This 127-nucleotide small RNA is filed under the name Marmota monax (woodchuck). Lineage: Eukaryota; Metazoa; Chordata; Mammalia; Rodentia; Sciuridae. The record is from RNAcentral.
GCUGGGUGUGGUGGUGCACACCUAUAAUCCCAGCAACUUGGGAGGCUAAGAUAGGAAGAUGGCAAGUUUAAGACCAGCCUCAGCAAUUUAGUGAGACCCAAAGCAACUUAGUGAAACCUUAUCUUGA